UACGGAGGGAGCUAGCGUUGUUCGGAAUUACUGGGCGUAAAGCGCACGUAGGCGGCUAUUCAAGUAGGGGGUGAAAUCCCAGAGCUCAACUCUGGAACUGCCUUCUAAACUGCAAGCCUGGAGGUCAGGAGAGGCGAGUGGAAUACCGAGUGUAGAGGUGAAAUUCGUAGAUAUUCGGUGGAACACCAGUGGCGAAGGCGACUCGCUGGACUGAUACUGACGCUGAGGUGCGAAAGCGUGGGGAGCAAACAGG
Molecule: ribosomal RNA, 253 nt
Filed under: uncultured bacterium
Lineage: Bacteria
Description: partial 16S ribosomal RNA
Rfam family: Bacterial small subunit ribosomal RNA
Source: RNAcentral